AGGAGAGGGAUCCAGGGACUCGAUGGCCUCCUGAGAUCUCUUCAAGCCCCAUUAUUCUGUGACUAGGGGGCUGCUCCCCAGCUCCGCGAAGUCGAUGCCCGUGGCUGCCGGACAGCUUUGGAUCAAGUCCUACAGGGUCUGGUGGCCGGUUGCUUCCCUCUCUUGCCUUUUCGAGGGUUGCCUCCAAUUAACUUGGAGCUUGACUGUAUGUCUGCAAACAGAUUCCGUUACAGUCUGAAGAUUAAUGGAGCCUCCCAGAGCACAAACUCCAAGUAGA
Molecule: long non-coding RNA, 277 nt
Organism: Pelodiscus sinensis (Chinese soft-shelled turtle)
Lineage: Eukaryota; Metazoa; Chordata; Testudines; Trionychidae
Source: RefSeq, a predicted model, not a curated record